This 434-nucleotide ribosomal RNA is filed under the name uncultured Clostridium sp. Its description in RNAcentral is "partial 16S ribosomal RNA". It matches the Rfam family "Bacterial small subunit ribosomal RNA", at positions 341 to 792 of the family's 1533-position model. The record is from RNAcentral. Lineage: Bacteria; Bacillati; Bacillota; Clostridia; Eubacteriales; Clostridiaceae. RNAcentral also lists the same sequence under 1 other name.
ACGGGAGGCAGCAGUGGGGAAUAUUGCACAAUGGGGGAAACCCUGAUGCAGCGACGCCGCGUGAGUGAAGAAGUAUUUCGGUAUGUAAAGCUCUAUCAGCAGGGAAGAAAAUGACGGUACCUGACUAAGAAGCCCCGGCUAACUACGUGCCAGCAGCCGCGGUAAUACGUAGGGGGCAAGCGUUAUCCGGAUUUACUGGGUGUAAAGGGAGCGUAGGCGGCACGGCAAGCCAGAAGUGAAAACCCGAGGCUCAACUUCGGGAUUGCUUUUGGAACUGUCGAGCUAGAUUGCGGGAGAGGUAAGUGGAAUUCCUAGUGUAGCGGUGAAAUGCGUAGAUAUUAGGAGGAACACCAGUGGCGAAGGCGGCUUACUGGACCGUAAAUGACGCUGAGGCUCGAAAGCGUGGGGAGCAAACAGGAUUAGAUACCCUGGUA